This 765-nucleotide ribosomal RNA is filed under the name uncultured organism. RNAcentral's name for it is "SSU rRNA". It matches the Rfam family "Bacterial small subunit ribosomal RNA", at positions 26 to 802 of the family's 1533-position model. The record is from RNAcentral.
AGGACGAACGCUGGCGGCGUGCUUAACACAUGCAAGUCUUACGGAAAGGCCCUGCUUUUGUGGGGUGCUCGAGUGGCGAACGGGUGAGUAACACGUGAGUAACCUGCCCUUGACUUUGGGAUAACUUCAGGAAACUGGGGCUAAUACCGGAUAGGAGCUCCUGCUGCAUGGUGGGGGUUGGAAAGUUUCGGCGGUUGGGGAUGGACUCGCGGCUUAUCAGCUUGUUGGUGGGGUAGUGGCUUACCAAGGCUUUGACGGGUAGCCGGCCUGAGAGGGUGACCGGCCACAUUGGGACUGAGAUACGGCCCAGACUCCUACGGGAGGCAGCAGUGGGGAAUAUUGCACAAUGGGCGGAAGCCUGAUGCAGCAACGCCGCGUGCGGGAUGACGGCCUUCGGGUUGUAAACCGCUUUCGCCUGUGACGAAGCGUGAGUGACGGUAAUGGGUAAAGAAGCACCGGCUAACUACGUGCCAGCAGCCGCGGUGAUACGUAGGGUGCGAGCGUUGUCCGGAUUUAUUGGGCGUAAAGGGCUCGUAGGUGGUUGAUCGCGUCGGAAGUGUAAUCUUGGGGCUUAACCCUGAGCGUGCUUUCGAUACGGGUUGACUUGAGGAAGGUAGGGGAGAAUGGAAUUCCUGGUGGAGCGGUGGAAUGCGCAGAUAUCAGGAGGAACACCAGUGGCGAAGGCGGUUCUCUGGGCCUUUCCUGACGCUGAGGAGCGAAAGCGUGGGGAGCGAACAGGCUUAGAUACCCUGGUAAUCCACGCUG